This 496-nucleotide ribosomal RNA is filed under the name uncultured bacterium. RNAcentral's name for it is "partial 16S ribosomal RNA". It matches the Rfam family "Bacterial small subunit ribosomal RNA", at positions 28 to 507 of the family's 1533-position model. The record is from RNAcentral.
GAUGAACGCUGGGGCGUGCCUAAUACAUGCAAGUCGAGCGAACGGACGAGAAGCUUGCUUCUCUGAUGUUAGCGGCGGACGGGUGAGUAACACGUGGAUAACCUACCUAUAAGACUGGGAUAACUUCGGGAAACCGGAGCUAAUACCGGAUAAUAUUAUGAACCGCAUGGUUCAAAAGUGAAAGACGGUCUUGCUGUCACUUAUAGAUGGAUCCGCGCUGCAUUAGCUAGUUGGUAAGGUAACGGCUUACCAAGGCAACGAUGCAUAGCCGACCUGAGAGGGUGAUCGGCCACACUGGAACUGAGACACGGUCCAGACUCCUACGGGAGGCAGCAGUAGGGAAUCUUCCGCAAUGGGCGAAAGCCUGACGGAGCAACGCCGCGUGAGUGAUGAAGGUCUUCGGAUCGUAAAACUCUGUUAUUAGGGAAGAACAUAUGUGUAAGUAACUGUGCACAUCUUGACGGUACCUAAUCAGAAAGCCACGGCUAACUACGUG